GACGAGCCACACAAACGUUAUUCGGAAUUACUGGGCUUAAAGGGUGCGUAGGCGGCGCGGAAAGUUGGGUGUGAAAUCCCUCGGCUUAACCGAGGAACUGCGCUCAAAACUACCGUGCUUGAGGGAGAUAGAGGAGUGCGGAACUUACGGUGGAGCGGUGAAAUGCGUUGAUAUCGUAGGGAACACCGGUGGCGAAAGCGGCACUCUGGAUCUCUUCUGACGCUGAGGCACGAAAGCUAGGGUAGCGAACGGG
Molecule: ribosomal RNA, 253 nt
Filed under: uncultured bacterium
Lineage: Bacteria
Description: partial 16S ribosomal RNA
Rfam family: Bacterial small subunit ribosomal RNA
Source: RNAcentral